Molecule: ribosomal RNA, 253 nt
Filed under: uncultured bacterium
Lineage: Bacteria
Description: partial 16S ribosomal RNA
Rfam family: Bacterial small subunit ribosomal RNA
Source: RNAcentral
UACGUAGGGUGCGAGCGUUAAUCGGAAUUACUGGGCGUAAAGCGUGCGUAGGUGGUUCGUUAAGUCUGCCGUGAAAGCCCCGGGCUCAACCUGGGAAUGGCGGUGGAUACUGGCGGACUAGAGUGCGGUAGAGGGUGGUGGAAUUCCCGGUGUAGCAGUGAAAUGCGUAGAGAUCGGGAGGAACAUCUGUGGCGAAGGCGGCCACCUGGACCAGCACUGACACUGAGGCACGAAAGCGUGGGGAGCAAACAGG